Molecule: unclassified non-coding RNA, 422 nt
Filed under: uncultured fungus
Lineage: Eukaryota; Fungi
Description: sequence contains ITS1
Rfam family: 5.8S ribosomal RNA (bases 1-106)
Source: RNAcentral
GAAAUGCGAUAAGUAAUGCGAAUUGCAGAACUUCGUGAAUCAUCAAAUCUUUGAACGCAAAUUGCGCUUUCGGGAUAUUCCUGAGAGCAUGCCUGUUUCAGUGUCUAUGUUAUUUCUCAUUUACAAUUUCUUGUGGAUUGUGAAUUGGACUGUUUAUAUGAGUGUUUGUAGCUCUAGCAGCUACAAUUGCUUGAAAGUCUUACAGUUGCCAUGCAGUAACAAGUCACACACUCAUUGGGUGUUGUGUUUUGCAUGAAGUGGUAGAAAGGAGCAGUUUCACUGUUUCCUUUAUCAUCUUCAAGCAGUGACACACAACAUUAAGCCUAAGUGUGGCGUUUAAAGCUACAGCAUGCGCAGUCUGAACGCCUCUUUAACAUAUACCUUUGGACCUGAAAUCAGGCAAGAGGACCCGCUGGAUUUAA